RNAcentral lists this ribosomal RNA (2927 nucleotides) under Enterobacter cloacae. RNAcentral's name for it is "23S ribosomal RNA". It matches the Rfam family "Bacterial large subunit ribosomal RNA". Lineage: Bacteria; Pseudomonadati; Pseudomonadota; Gammaproteobacteria; Enterobacterales; Enterobacteriaceae. The record is from RNAcentral.
GGGUUGUGAGGUUAAGCGACUAAGCGUACACGGUGGAUGCCCUGGCAGUCAGAGGCGAUGAAGGACGUGCUAAUCUGCGAAAAGCGCCGGCGAGGUGAUAUGAACCUUUGACCCGGCGAUGUCCGAAUGGGGAAACCCAGUGUGAUUCGUCACACUAUCGUUAACUGAAUACAUAGGUUAACGAGGCGAACCGGGGGAACUGAAACAUCUAAGUACCCCGAGGAAAAGAAAUCAACCGAGAUUCCCCCAGUAGCGGCGAGCGAACGGGGAGCAGCCCAGAGUCUGAAUCAGCUUGUGUGUUAGUGGAAGCGUCUGGAAAGUCGCACGGUACAGGGUGACAGUCCCGUACACGAAAGCACACAGGUUGUGAACUCGAAGAGUAGGGCGGGACACGUGGUAUCCUGUCUGAAUAUGGGGGGACCAUCCUCCAAGGCUAAAUACUCCUGACUGACCGAUAGUGAACCAGUACCGUGAGGGAAAGGCGAAAAGAACCCCGGCGAGGGGAGUGAAAAAGAACCUGAAACCGUGUACGUACAAGCAGUGGGAGCACCUUCGUGGUGUGACUGCGUACCUUUUGUAUAAUGGGUCAGCGACUUAUAUUCUGUAGCAAGGUUAACCGUAUAGGGGAGCCGAAGGGAAACCGAGUCUUAACUGGGCGUUAAGUUGCAGGGUAUAGACCCGAAACCCGGUGAUCUAGCCAUGGGCAGGUUGAAGGUUGGGUAACACUAACUGGAGGACCGAACCGACUAAUGUUGAAAAAUUAGCGGAUGACUUGUGGCUGGGGGUGAAAGGCCAAUCAAACCGGGAGAUAGCUGGUUCUCCCCGAAAGCUAUUUAGGUAGCGCCUCGUGAACUCAUCUUCGGGGGUAGAGCACUGUUUCGGCUAGGGGGCCAUCCCGGCUUACCAACCCGAUGCAAACUACGAAUACCGAAGAAUGUUAUCACGGGAGACACACGGCGGGUGCUAACGUCCGUCGUGAAGAGGGAAACAACCCAGACCGCCAGCUAAGGUCCCAAAGUCAUGGUUAAGUGGGAAACGAUGUGGGAAGGCACAGACAGCCAGGAUGUUGGCUUAGAAGCAGCCAUCAUUUAAAGAAAGCGUAAUAGCUCACUGGUCGAGUCGGCCUGCGCGGAAGAUGUAACGGGGCUAAACCAUGCACCGAAGCUGCGGCAGCGACGCUUAUGCGUUGUUGGGUAGGGGAGCGUUCUGUAAGCCGUUGAAGGUGUGCUGUGAGGCAUGCUGGAGGUAUCAGAAGUGCGAAUGCUGACAUAAGUAACGAUAAAGCGGGUGAAAAGCCCGCUCGCCGGAAGACCAAGGGUUCCUGUCCAACGUUAAUCGGGGCAGGGUGAGUCGACCCCUAAGGCGAGGCCGAAAGGCGUAGUCGAUGGGAAACAGGUUAAUAUUCCUGUACUUGGUGUUACUGCGAAGGGGGGACGGAGAAGGCUAUGUUAGCCGGGCGACGGUUGUCCCGGUUUAAGCAUGUAGGCGGAGGUUCCAGGUAAAUCCGGUACCUUAUUAACGCUGAGGUGUGAUGACGAGGCACUACGGUGCUGAAGUAACAAAUGCCCUGCUUCCAGGAAAAGCCUCUAAGCAUCAGGUAACAUCAAAUCGUACCCCAAACCGACACAGGUGGUCAGGUAGAGAAUACCAAGGCGCUUGAGAGAACUCGGGUGAAGGAACUAGGCAAAAUGGUGCCGUAACUUCGGGAGAAGGCACGCUGAUAUGUAGGUGAAGCCCCUGCGGGUGGAGCUGAAAUCAGUCGAAGAUACCAGCUGGCUGCAACUGUUUAUUAAAAACACAGCACUGUGCAAACACGAAAGUGGACGUAUACGGUGUGACGCCUGCCCGGUGCCGGAAGGUUAAUUGAUGGGGUUAGCGGUAACGCGAAGCUCUUGAUCGAAGCCCCGGUAAACGGCGGCCGUAACUAUAACGGUCCUAAGGUAGCGAAAUUCCUUGUCGGGUAAGUUCCGACCUGCACGAAUGGCGUAAUGAUGGCCAGGCUGUCUCCACCCGAGACUCAGUGAAAUUGAACUCGCUGUGAAGAUGCAGUGUACCCGCGGCAAGACGGAAAGACCCCGUGAACCUUUACUAUAGCUUGACACUGAACACUGGUCCUUGAUGUGUAGGAUAGGUGGGAGGCUUUGAAGUGUGGACGCCAGUCUGCAUGGAGCCGUCCUUGAAAUACCACCCUUUAAUGGCUGGUGUUCUAACGUAGACCCGUGAUCCGGGUUGCGGACAGUGUCUGGUGGGUAGUUUGACUGGGGCGGUCUCCUCCCAAAGAGUAACGGAGGAGCACGAAGGUUAGCUAAUCCUGGUCGGACAUCAGGAGGUUAGUGCAAUGGCAUAAGCUAGCUUGACUGCGAGAGUGACGGCUCGAGCAGGUGCGAAAGCAGGUCAUAGUGAUCCGGUGGUUCUGAAUGGAAGGGCCAUCGCUCAACGGAUAAAAGGUACUCCGGGGAUAACAGGCUGAUACCGCCCAAGAGUUCAUAUCGACGGCGGUGUUUGGCACCUCGAUGUCGGCUCAUCACAUCCUGGGGCUGAAGUAGGUCCCAAGGGUAUGGCUGUUCGCCAUUUAAAGUGGUACGCGAGCUGGGUUUAGAACGUCGUGAGACAGUUCGGUCCCUAUCUGCCGUGGGCGCUGGAGAAUUGAGGGGGGCUGCUCCUAGUACGAGAGGACCGGAGUGGACGCAUCACUGGUGUUCGGGUUGUCAUGCCAAUGGCACUGCCCGGUAGCUAAAUGCGGAAAAGAUAAGUGCUGAAAGCAUCUAAGCACGAAACUUGCCCCGAGAUGAGUUCUCCCUGAGACUUUAAGUCUCCUGAAGGAACGUUGAAGACGACGACGUUGAUAGGUCGGGUGUGUAAGCGCAGCGAUGCGUUGAGCUAACCGAUACUAAUGAACCGUGAGGCUUAACCUUACAACGCCGAAG